CCCUAGCCCUGAUGGUCUCGAAGCGUCGGGAGAAAUCCUACCGUUUUUUCGGGAGAUUGCAACGUACAGCGGGAAAAAGC
RNAcentral lists this small RNA (80 nucleotides) under Flavobacterium sp. 120. Its description in RNAcentral is "Flavo-1 RNA". The record is from RNAcentral. Lineage: Bacteria; Pseudomonadati; Bacteroidota; Flavobacteriia; Flavobacteriales; Flavobacteriaceae.